GUGGGAUAUUUGUCUUCUUGUUUUCAUAUUGUUAAAGUAAUUAUUUCAUUGUAUGUACAUGUAUGUAUUUGUAUGGGGGUCUUGUUUGUUAUCAAAUUAAGUGAGGUGCUUAUUUUCGUCAUUGUUUUCCAUGUUUUCUGCAGUUUAUGUUCAGGUCUUUAUGUUUUCUGAAGUAUACUGAUAUUUUUAUAUGAAGAUAACAUCAAAAGCAAAAUAUUCUUAGCUUUAAAAAGGUGUUUCUUUGAAAAAAAAUAUCUGAAAAGUUAGAUUAAAUGCUAUUUGAAAUUUCC
This 290-nucleotide long non-coding RNA is filed under the name Mytilus galloprovincialis (Mediterranean mussel). Lineage: Eukaryota; Metazoa; Mollusca; Bivalvia; Mytilida; Mytilidae. The record is from RNAcentral.